AGAGUUUGAUCAUGGACUCAGGAUGAACGCUAGCGGGAGGCCUAACACAUGCAAGCCGAGCGGUAUUGUUUCUUCGGAAAUGAGAGAGCGGCGUACGGGUGCGGAACACGUGUGCAACCUGCCUUUAUCUGGGGGAUAGCCUUUCGAAAGGAAGAUUAAUACUCCAUAAUAUAUUGAACGGCAUCGUUUAAUAUUGAAAGCUCCGGCGGAUAGAGAUGGGCACGCGCAAGAUUAGCUAGUUGGUGAGGUAACGGCUCACCAAGGCGAUGAUCUUUAGGGGCCUGAGAGGGUGAUCCCCCACACUGGUACUGAGACACGGACCAGACUCCUACGGGAGGCAGCAGUGAGGAAUAUUGGUCAAUGGGUGCAAGCCUGAACCAGCCAUCCCGCGUGAAGGACGACUGCCCUAUGGGUUGUAAACUUCUUUUGUAUAGGGAUAAACCUACCCUCGUGAGGGUAGCUGAAGGUACUAUACGAAUAAGCACCGGGCUAACUCCGUG
RNAcentral lists this ribosomal RNA (500 nucleotides) under uncultured bacterium. Its description in RNAcentral is "bacterial SSU rRNA". It matches the Rfam family "Bacterial small subunit ribosomal RNA", at positions 8 to 507 of the family's 1533-position model. The record is from RNAcentral.